CUGCUUGGACAGCAGCUUUGAGGAAACGUGGGAUUCAUUAAAACAUUAAAUAGAUGAUGACCAGAAGAUGAGGUAAAGACAGACACUUAUGUUUCCAAACUUCAUGCUGUGAACAACUGAGAGAGAGAGAUUUAGAGGCUAAUUCACCCCUUCUCAUGUUAGAGYAGGCUGAGAGUUCUCCUGCUGUCAUUUACUUCAAGCUAAUCAAUGAUCUUCACCGRGAGCAGCUGCACUGAAGGGGCAGCUGCCUUCUCCCAACAAGAAAAGGAAUAAUCUGGAGAGAAGCAGUGGAAAUUAAACCUUAGAGUAGGACAGUAGUGUCGAUUGCAUUUUUUGAAAGAAUGUUUAUUGCCAAAUGUAACAUACUGCGUAAAAUUACUUUUGCUAUUAGGCUAUGAGCAGAAGUUUGCUUAAAAUAUUGCAUAGUCUUGAUUCAAAGAAUAUUUACACUYUAUGUGUUUGUGUGUGUGUGAAUUCAGGUUUGUCUGGUCUUGUUUACUAUUUUGUAAGUGUCAGAUUAUCUAGGACAACAAAUUAAUUAGUAGUAUUAGAUUUUAACAUCCUGACUUCUUUCUAAUCUAUUCACAUGAGCACUUCUCAAUGUCUAAAGAUAUACUACAGAAAAAGAAAAAAAUGGAAGUUAAUUAUCUCUUUGUAAAACCUCAUUUUAUGUUAAAAGGGAAGAAAGGGGUAUCUUCAAUAUAAAAUACUUUAUUAUGUUUGRAACUGCUAUUCAGUGUUAUUCCGAAUCUCCCUAAAUCAUCUAUUUUAAAAAAGAUUCACCUCCAUUCAAGAAAUGUGGUGUGAUUGCACUUAAAGAUGUUGAAGUGGUGCCAAACCAUACUGAAGUCAUUUGGAUGAUCUAAAGAGUAAGCAWCAAGGUCUCUGAAAUUUCUUUUCUCUCUCUGUUUUUACUGAUUGCUAAUACAAAAUCACAAGAAUAGGAAAAAAAUAAUUUUAAAUAGCUUUAGAAGUGCUGGCACUAAGACAAGUGAAACAGCUACUUUCACACUCUAAAAUGCUAUUUUUGCUCUUUCAUUUUACAUUCAUUUUCAGAACUUUUUCUGAGCUUUUUUCUGGGUAAGUAGUUCUGGAGAAGAGGUACUUGUAAGAAAAGCUGAUCGAAAAUAGACUAAGAAAGUGACUUCUGAAAACAGGGAGCAAUAUAUAACUUGUAAAUUAUGAGAGCAAAUGUUUUAGACAACUAUUGAAUAGUUCAGUCAUGUGCUUUUUUUGUAUUGACUUUCCCUUGACAUAUUGAGCCUUUGAUCUUCUUUUAGUCUUGCAUACAGUUUCCUGCUAUAUUGAAUCCUAUAUUAAAAAGUGCUCUCAUAAGUACAAAAUGGAGAAUCUUUAAUAAUGUCUUAAUAAGUGUAACACAGCUUUUCAAGCUCUUCUGUUUCUCACCUUUACAAGCACACCUCAUUCAUUGCUUACUGUAUAACUUCUCAGUUGCCUCCCCCCUAAAAAAAGGCAAAUACUUCAAAUGUAGUAUUUCUGUAGAAAAAAAGCAUAACUGUCAUGCACACGGGGCUGUUAAAAACACCAAAUUAAGGAAACUGUGGGGCAUACUACACACUAUCUGAUAACACAUUAUCAUACCUUGUCCAAAUUAAGCAGUUAUGGGUAUAUUGCUACA
Molecule: long non-coding RNA, 1639 nt
Organism: Nothoprocta perdicaria
Lineage: Eukaryota; Metazoa; Chordata; Aves; Tinamiformes; Tinamidae
Exons: 2
Source: RefSeq, a predicted model, not a curated record